This 497-nucleotide ribosomal RNA is filed under the name uncultured bacterium. RNAcentral describes it as "partial 16S ribosomal RNA". It matches the Rfam family "Bacterial small subunit ribosomal RNA", at positions 28 to 507 of the family's 1533-position model. The record is from RNAcentral.
GAUGAACGCUGGCGGCGUGCCUAAUACAUGCAAGUCGAGCGAACAGAUGAGGAGCUUGCUCCUCUGACGUUAGCGGCGGACGGGUGAGUAACACGUGGAUAACCUACCUAUAAGACUGGGAUAACUUCGGGAAACCGGAGCUAAUACCGGAUAAUAUAUUGAACCGCAUGGUUCAAUAGUGAAAGACGGUUUUGCUGUCACUUAUAGAUGGAUCCGCGCCGCAUUAGCUAGUUGGUAAGGUAACGGCUUACCAAGGCAACGAUGCGUAGCCGACCUGAGAGGGUGAUCGGCCACACUGGAACUGAGACACGGUCCAGACUCCUACGGGAGGCAGCAGUAGGGAAUCUUCCGCAAUAGGCGAAAGCCUGACGGAGCAACGCCGCGUGAGUGAUGAAGGUCUUCGGCUCGUAAAACUCUGUUAUUAGGGAAGAACAAAUGUGUAAGUAACUAUGCACGUCUUGACGGUACCUAAUCAGAAAGCCACGGCUAACUACGUG